Scylla paramamosain (green mud crab) is the source of this 4313-nucleotide long non-coding RNA. RefSeq lists it as uncharacterized. Lineage: Eukaryota; Metazoa; Arthropoda; Malacostraca; Decapoda; Portunidae. The record is from RefSeq and is a predicted model, not a curated record. The transcript is spliced from 2 exons.
AGAAGGGAAACCUAAAACAGGCAGAGUUCGGAGUUUACAGUGAAAAGAAUGAAAUAUUAAUUGAGUACUGUGCAGCGAGAAUGCAGAAGCGGGGAGGUGACACCGAGAAACAUAAACAAUGAUGAAUUUAUAUAGGUAGUGACAAGGACUACUAUGCUACCGGUAGUCGGUAGCGAGGAACUUUGACACUGGGAAACACGUACUGGUCUGCACCAUCUCUCCUCCGUUCGUUACCUUUUGGUUUCUUCCCGGCUUCCUGUAUCUCACAGCGUCACCAGGAAGACUGCAGCCAAACCUCAUCCCUCAGUCUGUACAUCGCUAUUGCGAAUGAGAAAGGACUCUGCUGGAUCGAUCCUUGGCCUAAUCCAACGUGGACCUUAAAACUUCAUAAUUCACACUGCACGUCUCAUUAGAAUCAUACUACUGUGUGUUAACGUACGACAUAUCUUUCACCACACUCACAUAGUACUUAUCUUACUUCUGACUUCGUGUGCAAUACCAAUGCUCCUUCUGUGGCAUCCUGUCAUAUACUCCACAAACUUUUUUUUUUUUCCCUGCACACACUGAACAAAUUUGUGUUGCUUCUUCCUGAUAUGAAGCUGUAUUGCUGUAUUGCUGUUUGUGGAUAACUAGUUCUCCUUUAAAGCUCAAAUUUUAUAUUUUCCAUAACUUCAUGGUAUGACUGGCCAACAUAAUACCUUUGUAGUUGUACUGAUUCUAACAGACUUAUUUCCUUGUGAUAUGCAACGUAAUUUGGGCAUCUAACCAAUGCCAGGUGUAAUUUUAACAUAAAUUCUAAAUCCCUGUUUUUAGUGCACUUAACACUGAAUCCUAAACACACAAUCAGCCAUUUCUGACCUCUUUACAUCGGCUCCUCUGGGAGAUAUCUGGGCAAAUUAAUCACCCUCUCUACAUUUACUAAUGUUAGGUUUAGGUUCAGUCCAUUCAUCAUUUUUCUGUUUGCAAAGGAAGAGAAAUCAAUCCCUUCAUUCCAUCUUCUCAUAAAUGAGAUUGAAAUAUUAUUUGCAAAUAUAAGCAAACCGAGGAUGGAAAUUUAGUGUUUUCCAGUCAAAUGCUUUCAAUUUUUCAUAUGAGCUUGAAGAAAUUCUUGACGGUCAUGAUUCCUUCAUUCAGCAUACUUAGGUCUUUUAGACAUCUUAAGAAAUGCUAACAACACCCUACAUAAUCAGGAGGGUGAUAUUGACAUUGUCACUGAAACAUUCUUAUUUAUUUUCUUGCACAACCUUAUUUAUUUUCAAACAGGUGAGAUACUUCUAAUACAUUUUGUUUAUAUAGCAAGAUAUUUUUGGAUAAAAAUACUAAAGUGAGGAAGUUAACUUGAACUGAGGAGGGAGUAAAUGAAACACAUCCCAUGAUCCUUCUUAGCCACACAGGUUAGAAAUAAGUAUCAAAUAUCAAUAAUUUUCUUUGUUAAUUUGAAAGACGUACUGAUGUAAAGAACAAAAUGUAGAAACUGAUAAACAUGUAGGAAAGGUAAAAGAAUACAUUGAUAUCUUCUGGUAUUUAUUCCUUUAUAUGAAUGCAAAAUACAUUAAUCACAUUACAAAAUGGAUGGCUUCAAGAGUUUUAAACUAUGGACACAAAUAACAGUGUCUGGUCCUUAUGUAUAAAUCAAAUCUCUUAAAUGUGAACAUCCAGUCAAGUUGCAGGACAAUACUUGCUUUUCAGGGGACCAUAGGCACAUCUUAGACUAUCAAUUUAAUCAUCCAAACUUUGUUAAUUAUAACCAUUUUGUAGCUUGUGUGAAAUCAUUGGUAAUGCAAAGUUCAAUUGUCAUUACAUAAAAGCUUCACUAGAAAGGAAGAACUACAUGUGUGUAUUUUAUUGAAGUUCUCAUGGAAGGUGGUAACUCACACAACAUGUCAUUAUGGCAUUUCACAAUACAAGUUUUUCCCUACUGGGCCAGUUCAUGCAUAGUUAAAUUUGAUCCCCUGAGGAGCAAAUAGUGAUUCUUGUUAAAAUUUCUAGAUACACUGGACAUAAACUCUAUACGAGGUAAUAUAACUUCAAAUACUAAUGUAUGCAGGCAAUGGGGACAGAUUACCUAUUUCCUAUUAGAGUUAAGGCUCUUUCUUACAUCAUAGGGAAAAGCUUGCUCCAAACUGCAGAAAAUUAAAAUAAAACUAUACCAAACCUGGUCAGUGUUACCAGGAGGAACUACAAGUCAGUAUGAAAAAAGCCAAUGAUAUAACUUAACAAUACUUUCUUCUUGGAUGGCUUUGGAGCCCACAAAAAGGGGUACUCAACAUCUUGCAAGUGUUGAGGGGCAGGCUUAAUCAGAUGUAAAAAUAAACAAUAAUUUGUAACAAAAUAUGUGCUGCAUGGAAUGUCUACUUGACCUACAAAAGCAGGGAUGACAGCAAUAACUCAUUCUCAAACAAUUAGCCAAAUCACACUUUGUGAAAGUUAUCCAAGGGCUUUGAAACCUAAAUAGAUUCAAACAAAGCUGAACACAAACUAUUCUAUUUCUGUUAUUAGUUUAAGGUGAUAGGAGCAUAAAGAAAAACAAAAAUAAAAAUAAAAGAUAUAAAAUAAAAAGGAAGUGAAAAGUGCUGUGGGAAAUUGGAAUUGUAUAUUCCAAAUGACUAAGAAGGGGAGGGAACCUGCUGGAGAACAAUGAAGUUGUGGCGAGUGUCCUUUGUCUUUCUUAAAAGUGGUGACAACGAUACCUUUGUACACGGACAAUGGCUUCAAUUAUCAGGUACAGACAUACAAACAUACUAGGAAAGUACCUUAGAUGUUAACUUAACUGAUUGAUCUCAGCAACACUUUUCAAUAUAUUCUCUCUAUGGCCUGUGCAUACAACCCUUCCUCUUCAUCAAAUAUAGCUGAUUUUUCUCUACAUGUAUGUAGUAUGUUUACAAGGCAAAGAAAUCAUAGUCUACUACAUAGUUAAAAAACCUGCUAUGACCUCCCUCAAAACCAAUAUCGGCUAAGUAAACAUCUUAAAUACAUCCCAUGGAAAAACAGGAGCUAAAGCAAAGGGCAGGAUAGCCUCUACGUGAAGGGCACAACAUCUAACAGUUAGGGUCUUAGCACAGGAGUUAAGGCAGGAAAUAUUACUACAACCCUCAUGAAAAGAAGCUCUGAUUGCAAGGGAAAGAUAUCUAGUAGUUAUCAGAUAGAGAGUAUGAAAGGUCAAGAGACAGUGUGUUCCUCAUUCAGGAGGACAAUAAAGAAGAGCAGUGGUGAGAACCAGGAAGUAAAUGGUAGAAGUAGUACUGAUGGGUUAGAUGACAACAUUUAUUAGUAAUCCAUAUGUAGAAUAACAUGAAACAAAUAUUAUGACAAUAAAUUGUACAAAAAUACAUCAGUGAUUACUUUGGAGCUAGUUUAUUUAGUCAAAUACCUGAAUAUUCAUAGUUUAUUAGUGGACGUUAGACUUCCAAUAUGAAGUCUAAAUAUUUAUGAAUUUCCCCUUCCUCAGAUAUCAUUCUUUUCACAUGAUAAAAGUAGAGAAUCUACAAUUGUAUUAAGAGAUUAUAAGAAAAUCAAAAUAUGUAAUUCUGAUAUUAACUGAAACACUGCCUUAAGUAAAAAACUAUACAGGUUAUGUUUUUGAUUAACAGUUACUUCAAUAUAUUGGAUGGAAUCCUAGCCGUCAUCUGUGAGGUCAUUCCAUCAACAGCGCUCGUAAUUUCCUUAUCUAUACCAUCACUGAAGCAGGUACAAUCAACCAAAUUGCACUCAUUUUGUGCUUCAAAAAAGUCCCCCAAGCAUAGUUACAAUCCUCUCAAAUUAAAUUUAUUUGGCAUUAUCAACACCCUAUAAAAAAAAAUGCAAAUUGUGGCAUUCUUUACCCAGCUCGGCUUGGCAGAAUACUACUGCAACUCUGACACUUCAGCAAUGAUUUGCUAAAGUCCUACAUCAAGAGCCUUACCAGCAACUGGAAAGGCUUGUAUUUUUUUUUUAAUCCUAGAGUAAACAUUCUACAGCACUUGUGUUAGAACUCUUCCAAACAAGUCCCUAAGCCUAGUGGUUUAGCUUUUUGCAAUAAGUGUUGUAAUGUGUAUCUACUUCAUCAAUAUGAGAAUCUGAAGAUGGCUGGACUUACUGCUGGUGCUUAGUAUCUGCGGCCAGUCUGACCUCCAAACUCCCUCACGCUGUCAAAAUAACAAUUUGAAAAGGUAACAAUUCAGGUUAUCUACCAUUAGGUUCUAUAUUGAUCUUAGGCAGGCUACUUAUAUAGUGAGAUGCCUGUAGUGGUAGUAUAUGUCUAGCCGCGACAAUUACCUAGUCUGCUCCUCAUAGUCUCCACCCUGGUAAUGCUGGCCGCCGUACUCCAGCACACU